AGUAACACGUGGGUAACCUGCCUUAUAGUGGGGGAGUAGCCUUUCGAAGGAAGAUUAAUACCGCAUAAGAUUGUAGUAUCGCAUGAUAUAGCAAUUAAAGGAGCAAUUCGCUAUAAGAUGGACCCGCGUCGCAUUAGCUAGUUGGUGAGGUAAUGGCUCACCAAGGCGACGAUGCGUAGCCGACCUGAGAGGGUGAUCGGCCACAUUGGGACUGGGACACGGCCCAGACUCCUACGGGAGGCAGCAUG
Molecule: ribosomal RNA, 248 nt
Filed under: uncultured bacterium
Lineage: Bacteria
Description: partial 16S ribosomal RNA
Rfam family: Bacterial small subunit ribosomal RNA
Source: RNAcentral